GGGCACGAGCGCUCAGUUGGUGGGCGGCCGGACUCCAAAUCCGGUGUGCGGGGGUUCGAUUCCCUCUGGGCCUG
Molecule: transfer RNA, 74 nt
Filed under: Saccharothrix sp. ST-888
Lineage: Bacteria; Bacillati; Actinomycetota; Actinomycetes; Pseudonocardiales; Pseudonocardiaceae
Rfam family: tRNA
About the family: Transfer RNA (tRNA) molecules are approximately 80 nucleotides in length. Their secondary structure includes four short double-helical elements and three loops (D, anti-codon, and T loops).
Source: Rfam by way of RNAcentral